This 301-nucleotide ribosomal RNA is filed under the name uncultured bacterium. RNAcentral's name for it is "partial 16S ribosomal RNA". It matches the Rfam family "Bacterial small subunit ribosomal RNA", at positions 509 to 807 of the family's 1533-position model. The record is from RNAcentral.
CAGUCGCCGCGGUAACACGUAGGGUGCGAGCGUUAAUCGGAAUUACUGGGCGUAAAGCGUGCGCAGGCGGUUGUGUAAGGCAGGUGUGAAAUCCCCGGGCUUAACCUGGGAACUGCGCUUGUGACUGCACAGCUAGAGUAUGGCAGAGGGGGGUGGAAUUCCACGUGUAGCAGUGAAAUGCGUAGAGAUGUGGAGGAACACCGAUGGCGAAGGCAGCCCCCUGGGCCAAUACUGACGCUCAUGCACGAAAGCGUGGGGAGCAAACAGGAUUAGAUACCCCCGUAGUCCCUGUCUCUUAUAC